Molecule: long non-coding RNA, 217 nt
Organism: Mercenaria mercenaria
Lineage: Eukaryota; Metazoa; Mollusca; Bivalvia; Venerida; Veneridae
Exons: 3
Source: RefSeq, a predicted model, not a curated record
CGGUGUAAUACGUGUAGGUUUAACCAUUUUAUGAAUAAGCCUUUUAAAUCAUCCGCCUCUUAAGAUGUAGGCACUGGAUCUAAAAAUACAAACUUCAGAAUUUACAGAACAUAUGACGUACCCUGAAGAUCCUUGAAAAGAAAAUUGUCAUUCAAUAAUCCUCGCACAAAACUAUUCUGUCUAUUUACGUUAAUCGUAACUUGUCUGCUACUAUUUU